This 233-nucleotide ribosomal RNA is filed under the name uncultured bacterium. RNAcentral's name for it is "partial 16S ribosomal RNA". It matches the Rfam family "Bacterial small subunit ribosomal RNA", at positions 15 to 240 of the family's 1533-position model. The record is from RNAcentral.
GAUCAUGCUCAGGAUGAACGCUAGCUACAGGCUUAACACAUGCAAGUCGAGGGGCAGCAUGAACUUAGCUUGCUAAGUUUGAUGGCGACCGGCGCACGGGUGAGUAACACGUAUCCAACCUUCCGUUUACUCAGGGAUAGCCUUUCGAAAGAAAGAUUAAUACCUGAUAGUAUGGUGAGAUUGCAUGAUAGCACCAUUAAAGAUUUAUUGGUAAACGAUGGGGAUGCGUUACA